AAACGUAGGAGGCGAGCGUUAUCCGGAUUUACUGGGUGUAAGCGCGUGCAGGCGGUCUUGUAAGUCAUGCGUGAAAGCGCUCAGGCUCAACCGGGCGAGGACGUGUGAGACUGCGGGACUAGAGGCAGGUAGAGGCGCGUGGAAUUCCGGGUGUAGUGGUGAAAUGCGUAGAUAUCCGGAGGAACACCAGUGGCGAAGGCGGCGCGCUGGGCCUGUUCUGACGCUAAGACGCGAAAGCAUGGGGAGCGAACGGGAUUAGAAACCCCAGUAGUCC
Molecule: ribosomal RNA, 274 nt
Filed under: uncultured bacterium
Lineage: Bacteria
Description: partial 16S ribosomal RNA
Rfam family: Bacterial small subunit ribosomal RNA
Source: RNAcentral